Molecule: non-coding RNA, 2134 nt
Organism: Lolium perenne
Lineage: Eukaryota; Viridiplantae; Streptophyta; Magnoliopsida; Poales; Poaceae
Source: RefSeq, a predicted model, not a curated record
CGCCUCCGAUUCGCCGUGUGGGGGUUCGUAGCGGCCGGCCUUGGUGCCGCUGCCACCCCGUCGCCUUCUGCUUUUCCAUCGCUGCGCCCAAGCUGCAGUGGCGCUCCUCCUCUCCUCUUGCUGGACGCUCAACAGGGGAGUACAGUCCGCCGCUUCCAGUGCCGGCACCUAGGCGCCUGUAUUGUCCUUCACCAAGCCGGUCGCCGCCCUGUAGCAGCUGCAACAACGAGCCCCCUGCCCCAUCGUGUAUUCUAUGUGAGCAUGUGAAGCCACCAGGAGGUGCCUAGAAGGAAGAUCAUAGGAUGCCGCCUGCACAUCGCACAGGAGGGCGACACCAGGACACCGUUUCAACAAAAGACGGGGCCAUCACACUUGGCAAUCAGGCGGUCAGCCUCCGAGUCCCAUGCCCGAGCCAUCUCUGCACCACAGGAAGUAGUCGAGUCCAAUUGGAAUUUAUCUCUCUAUAUGAGUUUUCAAUCUGGAAGGCUCCGUGCUUGAUGCUUGAGUACAGUGAAUUCACCAUGUCACACAUGUGGACUAACAACCUUUGGAACUUUAAGCCAUGCCAUCUUCUGGGCCCAAAAGUGUUCAUCUGAAGCUAAAGAGAUUACUCCAAAUGGUAACCACACAUAAUUCCCCAAAUCUCUCAUGUACUAUUUUGGCAUGUAGAAAUUGCAGAAUCUCAUUUGCAUAUAUAUGUAUAGAACCUCCCAACGAAUGAUGUAUUUUUUGGGUUCAUGCCCUAUUUCAUGUCGUUGAAUUUUUUCUUGAUUUAUUUUCAUGUUUUGGCUUCAUGGUCCAGUUCCAUAGGUUACCUUAUACUCCAGCUUGCCCUAGGUUGCGCCACCACCAUUGCAACUAUACGCCUCCCAAUAGUGGCUGGGACGAGGCAGGUAGGAGUAUGGGCGAAAAAGAGGCGGGGAUGGUGAAAUGGCCAUCGGGAGAGGGGGUCGAGUGAGGGAGGGUGGUGCCCAAGGGAAAAGUAGGGAGGUUUUCUCUAAGCACAACAGCAGCGGUGUCAGUUCCCUUGUGGUGAAGACAGCGGCGAGGGACCUUCCCAAGCUCCAGGACAUAUGCCUUGACGCCUUAUUUCUGGCAUUGUGGGCACGGACAAGAUCAUCUUUUCCUAUGCACUGUGUGUGUGCGCGCUCACGUUUCUGCAGUUUUGCAAGUAUCGAGGAAGAGGUAUGUUCACAGUUUUCUGCAUAGAUAGAUGAAUUUGCUUAUACUUUUUUCGGAUGUGUUUUCAGUUUUUCCUGUAUGAUUAAAUAUUUUCAUGCAAUUCUGUAUGCCUCUCUUCAGCUGGCUAAGCCAUACUCUGAAGUUAACUAUAUGCACAGACUGUCUGUCGGUGGCUGCGUCCUCAUUUGUACCAGACAUCCAUAUUGCUGCUAUGGCUGAGUGUGACAUGUGGAUAAUCUUUUUUUGUCUUCACAGUUUAUUUGGUCGCACAUAUAGAUGUUGAUAUGCAUAUAUUUUCCUGUAACUGACAGCCCACAACCGAUACUCCUGGCAAAUAUGUUCAAGAACUUUGGAUGAAGAACCUAUCCCCUACAUAAAAGAAAUGUCAUAGAGAUACUAUAGUUUUUCCUCCUUUUAUGCUACAAAUCUACGGGACAUUCAAUGACAUUUUUCGUUGAUAAAUACAUGUGAAUCAGGACACGUGCAUGACAGAUCCGGAGAAGAUGGUCGAUAAACAAUGCAGGCAAAACCCAGAAAAAAACAAGAGAUCGUGGUACAGAACAGAAGGGAACAUCUCCCUAAACUCUAUUUGCUAGAGGAUCCCAGUCCUAAUAGCCAGUAGUUUCUGUGCAAUGUGACAUUGGAUAAAACAAUCCAUCUCAACAACAGAAAACGGCGCAGCAAAGCGCGCUAGGUCCAUCUAGUACAUGGACAUGUGCAACUAUGUUACCUUCUCAACGGUGAGGUUGCCGAACUGGUUGAGCGUCAGCCACCUAACGAGUUCCUAGAUGUUCGCCUCGUGUGUUGGAUCCUCCUAAGCAUCUAUGGCGUGGAGGAGGUGGAUCUGAUGAACGGUGCGUGCCACCUAUUGAUACUCUGCUCAAAUAAUGUCUUGAAGUCCGAUGAUGAGACAAAAUUUGCCGAAAUUGUAAUCAAAUUGUUGAGCGGUUAA